RNAcentral lists this ribosomal RNA (350 nucleotides) under uncultured Pseudomonas sp. Its description in RNAcentral is "bacterial SSU rRNA". It matches the Rfam family "Bacterial small subunit ribosomal RNA", at positions 1031 to 1382 of the family's 1533-position model. The record is from RNAcentral. Lineage: Bacteria; Pseudomonadati; Pseudomonadota; Gammaproteobacteria; Pseudomonadales; Pseudomonadaceae.
GACACAGGUGCUGCAUGGCUGUGUUCAGCUCGUGCGUGAGAUGUUGGGUUAAGUCCGUAACGAGCGCAACCCUUGUCCUUAGUUACCAGCACGUUAUGGUGGGCACUCUAAGGAGACUGCCGGUGACAAACCGGAGGAAGGUGGGGAUGACGUCAAGUCAUCAUGGCCCUUACGGCCUGGGCUACACACGUGCUACAAUGGUCGGUACAAGGGGUUGCCAAGCCGCGAGGUGGAGCUAAUCCCAUAAAACCGAUCGUAGUCCGGAUCGCAGUCUGCAACUCGACUGCGUGAAGUCGGAAUCGCUAGUAAUCGUGAAUCAGAAUGUCACGGUGAAUACGUUCCCGGGCCUU